CGAAGAUGAGAAAGUCAAGUAUAGGGAAUCCAUGUUCACAAAGGAGCCAGACUUUGUAUCUAGGCCAUUUGAUUCCACCAACUUCCCUGUCUGCUACCACCAUGAUGUUGACUCAAGAAUGGAAACCACAUCUCUGGGUGUGUCUAUGAGGAUGUUUACAGAAGAAAAUUAACCGGAGAGGAAAGAUACAUCCUGAACGUAGGAGGCAUCGUUCCAUGAACUGGGAUCCUAGACCGAAAAACAAAAGUGGACACAGCACCAGCAUCCAUCCCUCUCUGCUUCCAGACUGUGGGAGUGAUGUGACCAGCUGCCUCACACUCCUGACACAACGCCUUUCCACCACGAUGGCCUGGACCUUCAACUCAGAGCCGAAAUAAACCCCUUUACCUUCA
This is a long non-coding RNA of Myodes glareolus (Bank vole), 392 nucleotides long. RefSeq lists it as uncharacterized. The record is from RefSeq and is a predicted model, not a curated record. NCBI's taxonomy places the organism in Eukaryota, Metazoa, Chordata, Mammalia, Rodentia, Cricetidae.